UGUAUGAUUCCAUAUUUUGGAUUUCUUGUAAGAGUGUAUUUUCACAAUUUGAAUAAUAAAUUCAACAAAAGCAACAAUUAGAAUAAUCGUUUCAUCAGACUUUCCGCUGCAUAAUUGGAUAUUAUUAGAAUAAGUAAGUUUGUUACUUCAUUUCGCCGGAGGACAAGUUAUUGAAAGGGUAAAAUAUCAAGACUUAAUAAAUUUUGGAGCAAUUUGGUCAUCUGGUACAUUAAGCUGUCUAGAGCAUUAUGCAAUUCCACAUGUCGAUUUUAUUUAAUUUAUGUUUCGUCUAGCAAACGUAGCCUUUCCUCGUUCUCAAGAUUUAUACAAGUUGUAAUUAAUAUUUAAUUUAUUCAGAGUGAAGAUGUAAUAGAUAUGAAAAAACAUUAGUUAUUUAGUUGCAAUAUACCAGUGAAAUAGUUAGGUGUGUAUGCAGCGCAGUUACAGUUUUUUUUGCAAAAACAUGCAUUUUUACUGGCUGUCCAUUUUUUGUGCAUUAGUUUUGUGCACAGUUCAGUGCGCCAGCAUUGAAGAGCCUUUUAAUUAUGGCCCUAA
This is a long non-coding RNA of Tribolium castaneum (red flour beetle), 555 nucleotides long. RefSeq lists it as uncharacterized. The record is from RefSeq and is a predicted model, not a curated record. NCBI's taxonomy places the organism in Eukaryota, Metazoa, Arthropoda, Insecta, Coleoptera, Tenebrionidae. The transcript is spliced from 2 exons.